GAUGAACGCUGGCGGCGUGCCUAAUACAUGCAAGUCGAGCGAACAGACUAGUAGCUUGCUCCUCUCACGUUUGCGGCGCACGUGUGUGUAACACGUGGAUAACCUCCCUAUAUGCCUGGGAUAACUUCGGAACUCCGGCGCUAAUACCGUAUAAUAUAUUUAUCCGCAUCGUUCAAUAGUGAAAUACGGUUUUGCUAUCACUUCUCGAUCUAUCCGCGCCGCAUUAGCUAGUUGGUCAGGUAACGGCUUACCAAGGCGACGAUGCGUAGACGAACUGAGAGAGUGAUAGGCGACCCUGGAACUGAGACACGGACAAGAGGACUAAGGUAGGCAGCAGUAGGGAAUCGUACGCAAUGGGAGAAAGCCUGACGGAGCGACGGCGCGUGAGUGAUGAAGGCCUUCGGAUCGUAAAAACCGGUUAUGAGGUAAGAACAAAUGUGUAAAGAAAUAUGCACGACGUGACGGUACCUAAUCAGAAAGCCACGGCUAACUACGUG
RNAcentral lists this ribosomal RNA (497 nucleotides) under uncultured bacterium. RNAcentral describes it as "partial 16S ribosomal RNA". It matches the Rfam family "Bacterial small subunit ribosomal RNA", at positions 28 to 507 of the family's 1533-position model. The record is from RNAcentral.